This 427-nucleotide ribosomal RNA is filed under the name uncultured bacterium. Its description in RNAcentral is "partial 16S ribosomal RNA". It matches the Rfam family "Bacterial small subunit ribosomal RNA", at positions 355 to 774 of the family's 1533-position model. The record is from RNAcentral.
UCGGGAAUCUUCCGCAAUGGGCGAAAGCCUGACGGAGCAACGCCGCGUGAGUGAUGAAGGUCUUCGGAUCGUAAAACUCUGUUAUUAGGGAAGAACAAAUGUGUAAGUAACUAUGCACGUCUUGACGGUACCUAAUCAGAAAGCCACGGCUAACUACGUGCCAGCAGCCGCGGUAAUACGUAGGGGGCAAGCGUUAUCCGGAAUUAUUGGGCGUAAAGCGCGCGUAGGCGGUUUUUUAAGUCUGAUGUGAAAGCCCACGGCUCAACCGUGGAGGGUCAUUGGAAACUGGAAAACUUGAGUGCAGAAGAGGAAAGUGGAAUUCCAUGUGUAGCGGUGAAAUGCGCAGAGAUAUGGAGGAACACCAGUGGCGAAGGCGACUUUCUGGUCUGUAACUGACGCUGAUGUGCGAAAGCGUGGGGAUCAAACA